This 107-nucleotide small nuclear RNA is filed under the name Sciurus vulgaris (Eurasian red squirrel). Lineage: Eukaryota; Metazoa; Chordata; Mammalia; Rodentia; Sciuridae. The record is from RNAcentral.
GUGCUCAAUUCAGCAGCACAUAUACUAAAAUUGCAACAAUACAGAAAAGAUUAGCAUGGUCCCUGUGCAAGGAUGACACACAAAUUUGUGAAGCGUUCCAUAUUUUU